This is a non-coding RNA of Karstenula rhodostoma CBS 690.94, 84 nucleotides long. NCBI's taxonomy places the organism in Eukaryota, Fungi, Ascomycota, Dothideomycetes, Pleosporales, Didymosphaeriaceae. The record is from the annotation of a GenBank genome assembly.
GCCCGCAUAGCACAGUGGUAAUGCGUCGCACUUGUACUUCUCAAGCGCAUGCGAAGAUCCCUCGUUCAAUUCGGGGUGUGGGCA